This 442-nucleotide ribosomal RNA is filed under the name uncultured bacterium. RNAcentral's name for it is "partial 16S ribosomal RNA". It matches the Rfam family "Bacterial small subunit ribosomal RNA", at positions 338 to 795 of the family's 1533-position model. The record is from RNAcentral.
CCUACGGGAGGCAGCAGUGGGGAAUAUUGGGCAAUAGGCGCAAGCCUGACCCAGCAAUGCCGCGUGAAGGAAGAAGGCUUUCGGGUUGUAAACUGCUUUGACAGGGGAAGAGCAGAAGACGGUACCCUGAAAACAAGCCACGGCUAACUACGUGCCAGCAGCCGCGGUAAUACGUAGGUGGCAAGCGUUGUCCGGAUUUACUGGGUGUAAAGGGCGUGUAGCCGGGAAGGCAAGUCAGAUGUGAAAUCUGGAGGCUCAACCUCCAAAUUGCAUUUGAAACUGUUUUUCUUGAGUACUGGAGAGGCAGACGGAAUUCCUUGUGUAGCGGUGAAAUGCGUAGAUAUAAGGAGGAACACCAGUGGCGAAGGCGGUCUGCUGGACAGCAACUGACGGUGAGGCGCGAAAGCGUGGGGAGCAAACAGGAUUAGAUACCCCGGUAGUC